RNAcentral lists this long non-coding RNA (686 nucleotides) under Citrus maxima (pomelo). RNAcentral describes it as "long non-coding RNA (CMAX_LNC003580)". Lineage: Eukaryota; Viridiplantae; Streptophyta; Magnoliopsida; Sapindales; Rutaceae. The record is from RNAcentral.
CAAGCACUAAUAUUGGCUGCCUCACAUCCAUGCACCCACUGGAUCUAUAUAUAUCACAUGAAACCAGAAAUAAGGACUCACUCAAGCUCACCUACUCACUUUUGAUUACGGUUCUCCAGAAGCUAACAGAGAUCGUUUCUGCUUUGAAGAAAAUGGAAACUCCUUACACAGGUUAAUUUUUAGGCCAUGUUCAAUUGAAUGUCAUUUAUAAUUCUAAUUUUAAUAUAUGUGUUUGUGAAUAAGGUUUUUAUUAUCAAAUUUUCAGGUAACAAAGAAUGGUCAGAGGGUACACAUGUUAAUAUAGGAGUUAGUAUGUUUGAUGAUGAGAAAAUAAACAACGAUGAUCUUGAUCUUUUUACUGUCCCUCAAUACGGGAGGUACCCUGACUACACUGGUUAAGUGUUACAGCAUUAUACUUUUCUAUUAUGUUUAGUGAAAUAAAAGGAUGGAUAAUGUUAUUAUCCACCAAUGAUGUGAAUACAAGGUUGGUUUAGUCAACUACUAAGAUCUUGUGGGAUAGACAAAAAACUGCUUUCUUUAGCACAUGUAUUUUGUCGUCCUUAAUUAAUAAAUAAAAUUAUUGUGUGUAUGAGUUGACUGAAUUAUUUUGGCAAUAGAUAUAAAAUUGUAUUAUUUUAAAUAUCUCUAUUUGAUUAAUUGUGCUCUUUUUCUUCUUGAAGGGGCCA